Molecule: ribosomal RNA, 501 nt
Filed under: uncultured bacterium
Lineage: Bacteria
Description: bacterial SSU rRNA
Rfam family: Bacterial small subunit ribosomal RNA
Source: RNAcentral
AAUGAACGCUGGUGGCAGACCUAACACAUGCAAGUCGAACGAUUUAUAAAACUUCGGUUUUUAUAAAGAGUGGCAAACGGGUGAGUAAUGCAUGGGAAUCUACCUAGAAGUUUGGGAUAACUAUUAGAAAUAGUAGCUAAUACCGAAUACACCCCGAGGGGGAAAGUUGACUUUUAGUCUUCGCUUUUAGAUGAGCCCAUGUUAAAUUAGUUAGUUGGUGGGAUAACAGCCUACCAAGACGAUGAUUUAUAGCUGGUCUUAGAGGAUGAUCAGCCACACUGGAAUUGAGAUACGGUUCAGACUCCUACGGGAGGCAGCAGUGGGGGAAUAUUGGACAAUGGCGCAAGCCUGAUCCAGCCAUACCGCGUGGGUGAAGAAGGGCCUUCGGGUUGUAAAGCCCUUUUGUUGGGUAAAGGAAAUCCAGCCGGCUAAUACCUGGUUGGGAUGACGGUACCCAAAGAAUAAGCACCGGCUAACUUCGUGCCAGCCGCCGCGGUAAUU